This 197-nucleotide ribosomal RNA is filed under the name uncultured Pseudomonas sp. Its description in RNAcentral is "partial 16S ribosomal RNA". It matches the Rfam family "Bacterial small subunit ribosomal RNA", at positions 335 to 524 of the family's 1533-position model. Lineage: Bacteria; Pseudomonadati; Pseudomonadota; Gammaproteobacteria; Pseudomonadales; Pseudomonadaceae. The record is from RNAcentral.
ACUCCUACGGGAGGCAGCAGUGGGGAAUAUUGGACAAUGGGCGAAAGCCUGAUCCAGCCAUGCCGCGUGUGUGAAGAAGGUCUUCGGAUUGUAAAGCACUUUAAGUUGGGAGGAAGGGCAGUUACCUAAUACGUAAUUGUUUUGACGUUACCGACAGAAUAAGCACCGGCUAACUCUGUGCCAGCAGCCGCGGUAAU